This is a long non-coding RNA of Crotalus tigris (Tiger rattlesnake), 479 nucleotides long. RefSeq lists it as uncharacterized. The record is from RefSeq and is a predicted model, not a curated record. Lineage: Eukaryota; Metazoa; Chordata; Lepidosauria; Squamata; Viperidae. The transcript has 3 exons.
UAUAGUUCUUGAUUAUUAAUUUUUCCUGAAUCUGGAGGACAACAUGAAACUGCUGACUAUCUUUCCCCUUGUGGGCUUUCUAGCAAUUUGGAUGGGAUUCCCCUCUGCAAUUGGAAGUGGCUUCCAAACAGGAAAACAAAGUCCACAGAAGCCAGGGGAGUGCCCAACCGAUCCUUGCUUUUGCAUUCAUCCUCAGCAUAAUGAGUGCCGGAGAGAUAAUGAUUGCAAAGGAAAAGAGAAGUGUUGUAACUAUUGUUGUGCAAUGAGAUGUGUAUCUCCAAGAUAAGAAGUUCUGAGACUCAGGCUUCCCAGUUAAUGAAAGUGGUUUGAUGGUUCAAUGCAUUCAACAAUAUUACAGCAUCUUUCUGAUCCCUUCCUAAGCCUCAAAAAUGUCUCUUGAACAAGAAAUGAGAACAGCAAGAUACCUGCCAUACUGCUUUACUCCUUGUUGUUUCAGGGAACUUUUCUUUCUGUCUGUU